UCUCCCGGGUUCAAGAGAUUCUCCUGCCUCAGCCUCCUGAGUAGCUGGAAUUACAGGUGGUGGCAUGAGUACAGCCGUGAAAGGACACUGGCGUGGGCUGACAACAUUCAGAUGGUCCCCAAGCUCCUCUCUCUCCUCACCAGCCCUGACACACAAACCCAACAUUUUCAUCCCGGAGAUCCUGGGGUACCAGUCACACCAGGAACCUUACCUGCUACGUGUUCUGAGCCUGUGAAUGGAAGGACCCCCUCCAUAUUCUUCUGAAUGGGGGUCUCCCUGUUGCAUCUGGGCUCCAGUACCUUCGGCUCCUUGGUGCUCAUGAUCACCCCACAGCCCCAGGACCACAGCACCAAGCUCACCUGGCUGGUGAAGUUCCCUGGAGUUGGUGUGACCACAGAGAGAACCAUCCAGCUCAGUGUCUUCUAUGCUCCAAGGUACCCAAGGAUCGGUGUCUCUCUAGGAGAUGGCACAGGUGAGCGCUGCCCCAGGGACCAAGAAGAGAUGUGGGGAGUACAGGGGACACAACGCUGAAUCCCAGGUCCCAGUGCUGGAGGGACCUGAAGGCUCGAGAGGGCCAGGCAGUAGGCUGAGUUGUGACUCCAGACUCGGUUUCCAGAUGCCUCCUCAUCCAGUUCCUCCACAGUCUGAGCAGCUGUGUUUCCUCUCUGGUGCUGGAGAACAAGGGGCAAAUGCCACAGCCUGGAAUGGAGGCCUUGCACAGUCUGCUUCUGGCCGGACUCUCCUCCUGAUUCCUCAUCUCCCUGCAUCACCCAAAGACCUCCCACACCCACCAGGCCAAGCCUUCUGUGACUCAGACUUUGCAUGUGUAAUUCCUUCUCCUGAAAUGCCCUUCCUUCCCAUUCCUGCCAAUCCAGGUCCCAAUUGUCCUUCAGGCUCAGUCUUAAUGUCACUCAGUUGUGUGUGUGUGUGUGUGUGUGUGUGUGUGUGUGUGUGUAAUUCUUAUUUGGUUCUGAGUGGAGAAGAGGCAUUCAUUCAUUAUUGGUGAUAGAUACAAAGUGGCAAGUUCAAUUACUAGACUGAGCAUCCAUUAUGUAUCAGCAUUAUUAUUGGUACCAGGGUUUCCUCAGUAGACACAGCAUGAAAAAUCUCUGUCAUCAAGAAGCUAUCAUUCUAGAGACAGGAAAAGUACAAAUGAAAAGAAAUAAUAAAUAAAAUAAGAGCAUGUGGGAUGGUGAUCUGUGUUCGGAGAAAAAGCAUGCAGGGAAAGAAACAUAAGAGAGACUGGGGAACCAUUUCUUAUCUGAUAGUGAGAGGAGGUGGUGUGUAAGCAAAGGUGUGAAGGUGCUAAGCAGGGAAGCUCUGUGUUUGAAUAAGACAAAAGCAUCCCAGGAAGAGGGAAGGGAAGCAGUGAACGCAUUGCUCAGAGGCAGCGGCAGGCCUGGGCGCUGUGGACGCAGCCAGACCCGGUGUCUGAGAGCAGGAGGCAGAGGAGGGAGCAGCGGGGAGGACAGGGCAGCCCGUGUGGGGCCCUGAGGCUACAGAGGAACCUGGAGCCUUUGGAGAGAGCAGAGGCUGGACUGGACUCUCACUCUAACAGGACCCUCAGCUGCUCUGGUCAGAGCAGGCCCGCGUGGGUCACGGCAGCCACAGGAGACUGGGAAGACGCUGCUGGGUCAUCCAGGAGGAGGGAUGGGGCCGAGCCAGGGAGGCAGGAAGGGGUG
This is an RNA transcript of Piliocolobus tephrosceles (Ugandan red Colobus), 1682 nucleotides long. It is a transcript of the gene named myeloid cell surface antigen CD33-like, with no coding region annotated. The record is from RefSeq and is a predicted model, not a curated record. The transcript is spliced from 5 exons. Lineage: Eukaryota; Metazoa; Chordata; Mammalia; Primates; Cercopithecidae.